AGAGUUUGAUCAUGGCUCAGAAUCAACGCUGGCGGCGUGCCUAAUACAUGCAAGUCGAACGCGAAAGUCUCGCAAGGGAUGAGUAGAGUGGCAAACGGGUGAGUAACGCGUGGGUGACCUGCCUUCGAGUGGGGGAUAACGUUCCGAAAGGAGCGCUAAUACCGCAUGACAUUCGACCUUUGAACAGGUGGAAAUCAAAGCCGGGGACCGCAAGGCCUGGCGCUCGAAGAGGGGCCCGCGUCCGAUUAGCUAGUUGGUGAGGUAACGGCUCACCAAGGCAACGAUCGGUAGCCGGCCUGAGAGGGCGGACGGCCACACUGGGACUGAGACACGGCCCAGACUCCUACGGGAGGCAGCAGUAGGGAAUUGUUCGCAAUGGGCGCAAGCCUGACGACGCAACGCCGCGUGGAGGAUGAAGAUCUUCGGGUCGUAAACUCCUUUCGAUCGAGACGAAUGAUCUCCGGAUUAACACUUCGGAGAAAUGACGGUACCGAGAGAAGAAGCCCCGGCUAACUCCGUGCCAGCAGCCGCGGUAAUACGGGGGGGGCAAGCGUUGUUCGGAAUUACUGGGCGUAAAGGGCUCGUAGGUGGCCAACUAAGUCGGACGUGAAAUCCCUCGGCUUAACCGGGGAACUGCGUCCGAUACUGGAUGGCUUGAGUGUGGGAGAGGGAUGCGGAAUUCCAGGUGUAGCGGUGAAAUGCGUAGAUAUCUGGAGGAACACCGGUGGCGAAGGCGGCAUCCUGGACCAUAACUGACACUGAAUAGCGAAAGCCAGGGGAGCAAACGGGAUUAGAUACCCUAGUAGUCC
Molecule: ribosomal RNA, 809 nt
Filed under: uncultured bacterium
Lineage: Bacteria
Description: bacterial SSU rRNA
Rfam family: Bacterial small subunit ribosomal RNA
Source: RNAcentral